This 484-nucleotide ribosomal RNA is filed under the name uncultured bacterium. RNAcentral describes it as "partial 16S ribosomal RNA". It matches the Rfam family "Bacterial small subunit ribosomal RNA", at positions 29 to 507 of the family's 1533-position model. The record is from RNAcentral.
AUUGAACGCUGGCGGCAUGCUUUACACAUGCAAGUCGAACGGCAGCGCGGGCUUCGGCCUGGCGGCGAGUGGCGAACAGGUGAGUAAUACAUCGGAACGUGCCCAGUAGUGGGGGAUAGCUCGGCGAAAGCCGGAUUAAUACCGCAUACGACCUGAGGGUGAAAGCGGGGGAUCUUCGGACCUCGCGCUAUUGGAGCGGCCGAUGGCAGAUUAGCUAGUUGGUGGGGUAAAGGCCUACCAAGGCGACGAUCUGUAGCUGGUCUGAGAGGACGACCAGCCACACUGGGACUGAGACACGGCCCAGACUCCUACGGGAGGCAGCAGUGGGGAAUUUUGGGCAAUGGGCGAAAGCCUGAUCCAGCAAUGCCGCGUGUGUGAUGAAGGCCUUCGGGUUGUAAAGCACUUUUGGCGGGAACGAAAAGGACUGUGCCAAUACCACGGUUCGAUGACGGUACCCGCAGAAUAAGCACCGGCUAACUACGUG